Molecule: long non-coding RNA, 296 nt
Filed under: Hordeum vulgare
Lineage: Eukaryota; Viridiplantae; Streptophyta; Magnoliopsida; Poales; Poaceae
Description: long non-coding RNA (HVUL_LNC010235)
Source: RNAcentral
CGACACAGUGGAACUGCCUAUUGCGUUGCGGAAGAGGACAUGUGAAGCGGCAAGGAAAGGUGAAGUGGCAAGGAGGGCUCUACCACAGGAUGGCUUUGACGAUCAUGACAUUAGCAAUUUUGUGUCCUAUGAGGCUUUGUCUCCUUCCUAUAGAGCGUUUGUUGCCUCUCUACAAACCGUGUCAGUCCCAAAGGAUUGGAAGGCUGCAAAGCAAGAUCCAAAGUGGCGUGAAGCAAUGAUAGAGGAGUUGGAAGCACUAAAGAAAAACAAGACGUGGGUGCUCACCAUAUUACCAG